GCCUGAAGGACUCCGUGGCGCUGGUGGUGGACUGCGAGAAGUCCGCCCGUGUGGAGAUCACGGGCGAGGACAUUGUGUCGCCAACAAAGCGGCGCCACUCCAGGACUUACAUAGAGCUCAAGGGACAGCCGCCACUGUCGGGCAAAGAGGGCAAGAGUGCAGAGCCUUCAGAGAAUUCUCCUGUCAGUGACGAGAAGAAGGUUCAACGCGACUUCAAAAUCUGACACCUGCCUUCUGCUCUGACCACACUUCCAGCUCCCGCAGAGUAAUGGCCGCCUCUCUCUCUCUCUCUCUCUCUCUCUCUCUCCCUCUGUCUCUCUCUCUCUCCUUUAGCAUCUCCUCCCUCCUCAAUUCCUUCAUCCUCAUCCGCUUGACCGAAAAGAAGACGAGUGAACGUGGAGAAAAAAAAAAGAAUAUUCAUGACGAAUAGACGUGACGGAAGAAUAGCAUCUGCCAUUUCCUGGGAAACUUAGCAUGCCGCUAAGACUGCCGCCUGCCAAGGCCUUGCACGUUCUACUCUGUGCAUAUGGCAGGGUUUCACUCAUAACACUACUCACUCUGAGGCGUUUUUUUUGUUCCUGCUUUUUGAUGUCUCUUCUUUCUAGACCAGCCGUGCAGGACUAUGUUUGCCUAUAGGAAAUAGCUCUUCACAAACUUGAAAGGAUGAAGGAGAAACCAAGUGUUUUUUUUUUUUUAUUAUUAUUAUAAUUAUUAUUAUUAUUUUAUUUUAUUACCAUAGCAUUCACCAUCUGUGGGGACCGGAAUUGGGAACAAGGACGGCGCAGUUUAAAUUCCAAAAGCCAGAGCUGUACAUGUGGAUCUCCUGAGAUGCUCAAUGCACACCUUUUAGUCUCUGUCUGUGGACGGGACUGCCCAGGACUCCUCUCAGACUUGCGUCAUUGGAAUACGAAUUAAUGGAAGAUGCCGACAUUGGGCUGUCACUACUUUCGGGGGGGCGGAAAUAUGAACUAUGGCUAUGGGGGAAAAAGAGAAACUGUUGUCCUUAUACCCCACUUGUCCUGGACUAUUUUAUGUAUUGGCACGGAGGUCCUCUAUGUUGCUCGGAUGUUGAGGAUCUCGUGAUGGAUAUCUCCUUACUGGUUUGCAUCGUGCCUCAUCCGCCCCACCUCUGCGGCUCUGAGGGAUCUGAAAAAAAAAAGCAAAGAAAAAACCUCUGUCUCGCUCUUCAGACCCCUCUCAGUUUCAGCCAACAAACCUGGAAUAUA
Molecule: long non-coding RNA, 1226 nt
Organism: Alosa sapidissima (American shad)
Lineage: Eukaryota; Metazoa; Chordata; Actinopteri; Clupeiformes; Clupeidae
Exons: 3
Source: RefSeq, a predicted model, not a curated record